CAAUAGCGUAUAUUUAAGUUGUUGCAGUUAAAAAGCUCGUAGUUGAAUGUUGGUGUCGAACGAGCGGUCAGCUUCGGCUGUACUGCUCUCUCGACUCCUUCCUUCUGCGGACUACGUCGCACUUUACUGUGUGGCGCUAGGACGCAGAUCGUUUACUGUGAAAAAAUUAGAGUGUUCAAAGCAGGCCGUACGCUUGAAUACAUUAGCAUGGAAUAAUGGAAUAGGACGUCGGGCCUAUUUUGUUGGUUCUAGGACCGUCGUAAUGAUUAAUAGGGACAGUUGGGGCCGUUUAUAUUCCGUAGUCAGAGGUGAAAUUCUUGGAUUUACGGAAGAUAAACUACUGCGAAANCANNNGGCAAGGAUGUUUUCGUNAA
This 374-nucleotide ribosomal RNA is filed under the name uncultured eukaryote. RNAcentral describes it as "partial 18S ribosomal RNA". It matches the Rfam family "Eukaryotic small subunit ribosomal RNA", at positions 592 to 976 of the family's 1831-position model. The record is from RNAcentral.